AUGGGCGAGCUUGCGAGUAGAUCCACAUCUUUCCUGGUGGACAGAUGCCUGAAGCACACGACGGCGCCUACCCAGGAGGAGAGUCUUCACAGUCUGCAACGGCUGCUAAUGUGGGUUCGUAUCAUCGUCGAGGAGGCAGAUGACCGGCUCAUCACAAACCAGGGCAUGCUGCAUCAACUCGGCAUCCUGAAAAGGGAGAUGUACAGAGAAUAUUACACCCUCGACAUCUUCAGUUGCCUUGUCCAUGGAGAUGAUGUAGUAGGAGUACUACUCGGACUAUGCGUGCUGAUACUUGUCCGACCAGGACGCAACACCACACAACACGUCGUGGUUAUUCCUACAGAUGACAGGAGAAAAGAUCAUAAAGUCAAUUACUCCUUUGCCGCAUCUAAGUUCAACCCUGCCAAGCGUGUAUGUUUCUGCAGUGGCAACGGUGAGGGUGCAGCACAAGCUAAGCUACUGGAGCAAGUUCUUGGCAGCGUAAGGGACACCAUUGAAGAUGUAAGUGGGUUUGUCAUGUUUCCAAAUGCAUGCCCACGUCUGCAGCGCCAACCGUACAACGUGUAUCUGGUGCUGGAUAAGUGCAUGUUUGGACGCCAAAUGGAGAUGGAGCAUAUCAUGAACUUCCUGUUGCAAGCAGAGACUACUCCUAGUUCCACAGAUAAUCCGGUUGUCCUGCCGAUCAUCGGUCCUGCGAAAGUUGGAAAGAGCACCCUGAUCGAACAUGCUUGCAACCAUGAAAGGGUGCGCAACCACUUCUCCCAGGAGGUAGAAUCAAGCAUAGAGACCCUAACAUGUGGAGGUAGAAUCAAGCAUGAAAACCGUGGCAUGGGCGGUGGAAGGACACUGAUCAUCAUUGAGCUGCUUCUGGAUAUCAGCGCGUGCAGGGAGGGGAGGUGCGAAGGCUGGUGCUCCCACGGGCCACGGCGAUGGGCUCUCCGUGUGAGUUCUCCCUUUCCGGUGUUGAAUCUGAGCUGUUGGCGAUCGCCGCCGUCCGAACCCCGUGCGAGGCCACCCUCGCCGUCCCAACAUCGCCCGCCGCCGCCCUCGGCGUCUGAACGUCGCCCGUCGCCGCAUCUCACCGUCCCAACUUCACCCGUCGCCGCAUCUCACCGUCCCAACGUCGCCCGUCGCUGCAUCUCACCGUCGUCUGACGACGCGGACGUGAAGGGCCCGAUGUCUGACGCCGCCCUCGCCGCCCGAACCACGUCCAACACCGCCCUUGCCGGCCCGACGUCUGACGCCGCCUCCGCAGCACAGUCGUCGAACGCCAUCGACGUCUACACCGCAGGCCAAGUUAGGCGUGUUGACAUGGACGAAGAAUCCGCAUUCGGGAGGGACGAGAAUGGUACUGAUAAGGUGACUAAGACCGAUAACGAUAAUUUGAACAAAGAUGAUGACAGCAGCGACAACGAUUCCGUCUCGUCAUAUGAUAUCUUACCUCCGGAGGAUUUUGAUAAUAAUGAACAUGGCGCAAAUAGCGAAAACGAAGAUGUGGACGUUGACAAUGUGCAACAUAGUUGGCAGGAAUCAUUUGCAGAUAACUUGAGCCAGGAGGAGUCAGAUGGAACUGGGCGUAGGAGCCCCGCGCGGGCGAGGGGAGGGGGCGUGGGCCGGGGGAGGAGCCCCGCGCGGGCGAGGGGAGGGGGCGUGGGCCGGGGGAGGAGCCCCGCGCGGGCGAGGGGAGGGCCAGCCCGUUUUUUCCUUUUCUUUCUGUGCGCCCCGUUGGACCCUGCUGCUAGGCCCGCUAGUGGGCUCGAUCAGCCGCCCGAGUCGCCUUUGGGCUUGAUUUGGGUAGCUUCUAAAGUAGCGGCCGGAAACAACAGCCCGCACUGA
RNAcentral lists this ribosomal RNA (1836 nucleotides) under Triticum aestivum (bread wheat). RNAcentral describes it as "partial small subunit ribosomal RNA". Lineage: Eukaryota; Viridiplantae; Streptophyta; Magnoliopsida; Poales; Poaceae. The record is from RNAcentral.